UACGUAGGGGGCAAGCGUUGUUCGGAAUUACUGGGCGUAAAGGGUGCGCAGGCGGCGUCGCAAGUCAGGCGUGAAAUCCCCGGGCUUAACCUGGGAACUGCACUUGAAACUACGAUGCUGGAGUAUGGCAGAGGGAGGUGGAAUUCCACGUGUAGCGGUGAAAUGCGUAGAGAUGUGGAGGAACGCCGAUGGCGAAGGCAGCCUCCUGGGCCAAUACUGACGGUCAUGCACGAAAGCGUGGGGAGCAAACAGG
Molecule: ribosomal RNA, 253 nt
Filed under: uncultured bacterium
Lineage: Bacteria
Description: partial 16S ribosomal RNA
Rfam family: Bacterial small subunit ribosomal RNA
Source: RNAcentral